UUCGCAAUGCCCGAAAGGGUGACGAAGCGACGCCGCGUGCGGGAAGAAGGCCUUCGGGUUGUAAACCGCUGUCGGGAGUUAAGAAAUGUAAGGAUGUUAAUAGCAUCUUUGCUUGACUAAGGCUCCGGAGGAAGCCACGGCUAACUCUGUGCCAGCAGCCGCGGUAAUACAGAGGCGGCAAGCGUUGUUCGGAAUUAUUGGGCGUAAGGAGCACGUAGGCGGCUAUGUAAGUCGGUUGUGAAAGCCUUCCGCUCAACGGGAGAACAGCAUCCGAUACUGCAUGGCUUGAGUGCGGGAGGGGAGAGUGGAACUUCUGGUGGAGCGGUGAAAUGCGUAGAUAUCAGAAGGAACGCCGGCGGCGAAAGCGGCUCUCUGGCCCAUAACUGACGCUGAGUGUGCGAAAGCUAGGGGAGCAAACGGGAUUAGAUACCCCGGUAGUCCUAGCCGUAAACGAUGGGCACUAAGUAGAGGGGUUUU
This 477-nucleotide ribosomal RNA is filed under the name uncultured Planctomycetales bacterium. RNAcentral's name for it is "bacterial SSU rRNA". It matches the Rfam family "Bacterial small subunit ribosomal RNA", at positions 365 to 832 of the family's 1533-position model. Lineage: Bacteria; Pseudomonadati; Planctomycetota; Planctomycetia; Planctomycetales. The record is from RNAcentral.